UCAGAGCUAGUCUUUGCCCCUCAGUGUCAGAGUGAGGCAGUGACAGGUACAGCCAACAACCAAAGGCAGUUCAGUCUUUUUAUCACAGUAAAGAAAUUGCUUCCCCAGUUCUGCCAGGGCAUUCCCAGCCAGGCUGUUUUGCUGUUAGAGAUGGGCCCAAGUCAAAUGGAUCUGGAUUUUGAUCCCCUCCUUCAAAAACUUGAGAGGAGAGUGGGGGGUGCUGGGAUCUAGGGUUUUGGUUCAGCCGCAUCUCUAGUUGAUACAGUGAUAACAGAGCAGGGCAGUGGAACCCAUCAGCAAAGCAUCUCAUCUUCCAAUAGUGAUAUUUUGAUACUGUAAAAGGGGAGGCCUGUACAGUGGCCUGGCCGGAAGGCUCAGCCAUGAAGAGGAAGAGGGAGUUCUGGGAAGUGAGGAGGAGCGCGGUGUGAGCAACUGUGGGAAGUGGGGGCAUCAGACCGGAAUAGAGCUAAUCCCCAACAUGGCCACCAGAUGUCCCCGUGAAAAAUCAAGCCUGGUCUUUGGGGACAACAACGCACUUUGGUUUACUGACCACAAACCACAGAACUUGCAAGGACCCAUAUGCUCCAAAUGCCUGACUUGGCUAUUAAAGGGCCAGACCCUGUAACAAGCUGCCAGUGCAUGCUUAAAGCAACCCAUCCUGUUGUUGUUUAGUAGCUUUGAUCCUGCUGGGAGGGGAUUGAGUGGGUUUUGCUCAUGCACUGUUGAACACCCAUAUGGAGGAGGGAUGUGGUCAGGAAAGAGACGCUAUUCUCUGGGAAGAGGGCAGGAAUGGCCUUUACUACCAAGCAGAACGAUACCUUUCAAUAUGGGAUGAGCUGAGGUCAGUAGAUUUGAGCUCCUCCUGCUUUGGGUCACUGUCUUUGUGCUCUCUGGCCCCAAAGGCACAGGUGAACUGUGAAGUGAAAGAGAAAAGAAACUAGUAUCAUCACCUUGUGUAUAAUAAUCAAGGGUGAGAGUCGGGAUUCAUGGCUUCUAUUCUCAGUUUUGCUGCAGUCUCAUUGUGUGACCUUGGGGAAAUCACUCAGCCUCUCUCAGUCCCAGUUUCCCCAUUUGUAAAACAGGGUUAAUGACUUAUUCCUACAUCACAAGCGGGUUGUGAGACUCAAGUAAUUAGCGCCUGUGAAGUGUUUUAAGAUCGUUGGCUGAAGGAUGUUACAGAAGCACAAAGUACUGAUAGUGUUGUUGUACUAAAUAAAUCUACUUUGCUCCUAUCUUUAACAACAAUAAAGCAUUUUGCAUCCCAAGGUGCCUUACAAGUUUAACAUGCCUUCGGGGCAAUGCAAAGCAGUCAGAGCAGUAUCAAGGAUCUGGCCCAGCUAACACCAGGCUUGGCACUGGCUCAAAAGGAAGAGAGCAACAUCUAGUGCACCAUUAACACCACUUUCAGCUGCACAGAGGUAUUAUGUGGAGGUCUACCAUGCAAGUGCUGACCCAAAUGACCUUAUUCGGUUUGUGAGCGGGAGUAAGGUGCUCUGGAUAGUACAGUCCACCCGCACUAUGGCUCAGUAAGGUGGCUGUACCUUACAGAUGACACACUCUUGCAGCUUGAUGGAUCCCCUCUCUUCAGCAUUUUUUCCUUAGUUUUUGGGACUGGAUUGUUGAGUGCCAUGGUGACAGCUGUGGCUUGCUCCGCCUCUUGCUUAGCCCUCCUCAGCCGUUGGUUUCCCUGCAGUUCGAGGAUCACCUCCCGCUGUUCUUGAAGCUGCCUCCUCUGCUCCUCAAUCAGCUGCUGCUGGAAGGCAUGGCGGUGCUCAAAGUGGCCCCUGAAGGCAGGGGCCACUUUUUUGCCAGGUGCCUCAAACCAUUGUAUGGGACUAACUGUUUGAUUACUGGAUUUGGCGUGAUCCUGUGAAUUCACAGCAGUGUGUUGUAGGGUAAUCUGCCAGGCAUACUUGGACUUCUUGCAUGAACGAAGACUACGGGUCUGACCAGCAUCCCGACAACAGGAUUCUACAGGAUUGAUGGGCUCCUCCUGAAGAAGGGGCGUUUCAGUCACCUGCAAGGGAAGAAUUCUGCACUGACUGAAGUCAAGACCUCUGCUGCCCUUGAAGAGCUAGGAGCAUUUUUCUGAAUGGAGCAACAGUGAAAUCAGUCUGAGAGGCAGGGUAACCUCAGGUACCCACUGGUGGGCACUAAAGCAAGCUGCUGCAGCUGAGGUCAGCCUGAAAGCAAGGGGCGCUGAUCUGCUUGAUGCUUCAUGCAGGGGAAACUUAAGCCAUAAGACUGAGAUCUCUAGUCCUAAUCUGGUUCACCCUGAAUAUGAACAUUAGACUAUCACAUGCAAAGAAUUCUUUCAGAAUUAGCCCAACUACAAAGCUCACCAUCUCUACUAUGAAUCUGAUCUCAGAACUGUACUCAUGCUCAAGUUAAUGUCCAAGCUGGGAAAAACCAAAAGCUCUACUGACCCUGGUUGUUCCUACGGAGACUAUCAUCUUGAAAGCCAGCAGGGGUCUCUUCAGCAGGAGUAGAGUCAGCAGCAGCAUCUCCAACAUUCUCUUCUUGGUCACUUUCUAGCUCCAGUCUCAGUUUGGAAUUCAUCCAAUCAUUGAGCAGCUCCUGGGCUACGGCCCUGAUCCUGCAAAUGCAUACAUGUAGCCUCAACAGGACUACAUAUGGGCAUAAAAUUAAAACCAUAUGCAAGUCUGUUUCUAGGAAUGAGACAAUUUUUUUGUUUAUUUGUUUUGUUUUGUUGGCUAAUAACUCAAAUGCCUGACAGUUGGAAGAAAAGCUUUUUUUAAAAAAAAAAAAUACAAAACCCUACUCCUUUAAUUAAGCACUAAGAAAGCACUCACUCCAAGUCUCUCUGGUAUUGCAACUAAGUUAUACAAUAAAAAUGAUGGAGGAUAUAACUUAGCAUUCCAGAUAUUUGUAAGGAAAAAUAUAAGCAACCUUUUAAAAAAAACAAAGACCACCACCACCAAAAAUUUCCUUUUCAGGCUUCUUUAAAGAAGUGGUCUGUAAUGGGAUGUGAUCUGAGUUACUACAGAGAAUUCUUUCCUGGGUGCUGGCUGGUGAGUCUUGCCCACAUGCUCAGGGUUUAACUGAUCGCCAUAUUUGGGGUCAGGAA
This is a long non-coding RNA of Mauremys reevesii (Reeves's turtle), 3088 nucleotides long. RefSeq lists it as uncharacterized. The record is from RefSeq and is a predicted model, not a curated record. Lineage: Eukaryota; Metazoa; Chordata; Testudines; Geoemydidae. The transcript is spliced from 7 exons.